RNAcentral lists this long non-coding RNA (589 nucleotides) under Equus caballus (horse). Its description in RNAcentral is "lncRNA (ENSECAG00000051611.1)". The record is from RNAcentral. Lineage: Eukaryota; Metazoa; Chordata; Mammalia; Perissodactyla; Equidae.
CGUGCUAAGUUCCCAUUCAGUGCCAGACUUUGCAUAUCCAAAUUUACAUGUGAUCUGGGUGAUGUGCUAUUCCUUGCUGGAGGAGGUCAUCGGAUGACGUGACCACUACUUGAUCUGAGACCUGGACUGGGCACUUGGAGGCUCCUCACCCCCGCCCCUGGCCUUGGAAUGUGCAUUCCACUCUCCAUUGCCAUAGCUGGAGCCAUUUCAAGGACGCAGCCUUGAGAGAGCAGUGUGUUGUAGAGACCAUCUGGACUGUACACAUGAUGGAACCCAGUUAAGGCCUCUAUAUAUAAACUGUUACGAUUCUGGUGGGCGGAUGUGGAGAUCUACUCGUCCUGCGCCACUCGAGACAAGCCUGAAGCCACCUCAACUGAUUGAUAGGAGGCAGUGAACCCUUAAGGAAGCAAGAGAGACCAGUAGCAAGGUCCACAAUUUACCAGAUCUACUGAUGGAGAGGAGGCAGCCAUGAGAAGCAGGCAGCUCCCAACAUUUGCCACUGCAUUUGAGGGGUGUAUGACCAGACUGGGAUUGGAGGUGGAGCCCAGGGUGAUGGCUGUUACCUUUUGCUGCAUUUGGUUUCUUCGUG